CGCCGGCCGCCAUCUCCCUUACCCCGCCGCCCUCCUCAGAGACGCAACCUCCUCAAGCCACAACUCCCAUCCACCACGCCGCAAUCGCCACCAACCACCACCAGAACCCCUGAACCCCCACCACCAGUCCGACGCGGAGCAGCGCGAGCCUCAGAUCCAGCGAGACCGGAAAAACGCAAGCAGAAGCAACAAGCCACUCCAAGCUCCAGCCCUCCUCCCAACUCCCCGCUCCGCGCGCGCAGCAGCUCGACGAACGGAGGCAGAUCCCGGCAAUGCAGUCGCCCGCGAGUAUAGAUAAACAGCACGCGGCGCGCGG
Molecule: long non-coding RNA, 316 nt
Filed under: Oryza brachyantha (malo sina)
Lineage: Eukaryota; Viridiplantae; Streptophyta; Magnoliopsida; Poales; Poaceae
Description: long non-coding RNA (OBRA_LNC001271)
Source: RNAcentral